This 481-nucleotide ribosomal RNA is filed under the name uncultured bacterium. Its description in RNAcentral is "partial 16S ribosomal RNA". It matches the Rfam family "Bacterial small subunit ribosomal RNA", at positions 28 to 523 of the family's 1533-position model. The record is from RNAcentral.
GACGAACGCUGGCGGCGUGCCUAACACAUGCAAGUCGAACAGAGAUACGAUUUCGGUUGUAUCUUAGUGGCGAACGGGUGAGUAACGCGUGAGCAACCUGACCUUCAGAGGGGGAUAACAUUUGGAAACAGAUGCUAAUACCGCAUAAGACCACGACCCGACAUCGGGAUGAGGUCAAAGGAGCAAUCCGCUGAAGGAGGGGCUCGCGUCCCAUUAGAUAGAUGGCGGGGUAACGGCCCACCAUGUCGACGAUGGGUAGCCGAGCUGAGAGGCUGAUCGGCCACACUGGAACUGAGACACGGUCCAGACUCCUACGGGAGGCAGCAGUGGGGAAUAUUGGGCAAUGGGCGCAAGCCUGACCCAGCAACGCCGCGUGAGGGAAGAAGGCUUUCGGGUUGUAAACCUCUGUCCUUGGUGACGAAACAAAUGACGGUAGCCAAGGAGGAAGCCCCGGCUAACUACGUGCCAGCCGCCGCCGUAA